RNAcentral lists this ribosomal RNA (440 nucleotides) under uncultured bacterium. RNAcentral's name for it is "partial 16S ribosomal RNA". It matches the Rfam family "Bacterial small subunit ribosomal RNA", at positions 338 to 795 of the family's 1533-position model. The record is from RNAcentral.
CCUACGGGUGGCAGCAGUGGGGAAUAUUGCACAAUGGGGGAAACGCUGAAGCAGCAACGCCGCGUGAGGGAAGGAGUAUUUCGGUAGGUAAAGCUCUAUCAGCAGGGAAGAGAAUGACGGUACCUGACUAAGAAGCCCGGGCUAACUACGUGACAGCAGCCGCGGUAAGACGUAGGGGGCGAGGUUCAUCCGGGGUUACGGGGUGUAAGGGGAGCGUAGACGGUUUGGAAAGUCUGAGGUGAAAGCCCGUGGCUUAACCGCGGAACGGCCUUUGAAACUGUGGAACUGGAGUGCUGGAGAGGCAAGCGGAAUUUCUGGUGUAGCGGUGAAAUGCAUAGAUAUUACGCGGAACACCAGUUGCGAAGGCAGCUUGCUGGACCGCAACUGACGUUGAGGCUCGAAAGCGUGGGGAGCAAACAGGAUUAGAUACCCGGGUAGUC